Molecule: ribosomal RNA, 467 nt
Filed under: uncultured bacterium
Lineage: Bacteria
Description: partial 16S ribosomal RNA
Rfam family: Bacterial small subunit ribosomal RNA
Source: RNAcentral
GACGAACGCUGGCGGCGUGCUUAACACAUGCAAGUCGAACGGAAAGGCCUCUUUCGGGGGGUACUCGAGUGGCGAACGGGUGAGUAACACGUGAGUAACCUGCCCUUGACUUUGGGAUAACUUCAGGAAACUGGGGCUAAUACCGGAUAGGAGCUCCUGCUGCAUGGUGGGGGUUGGAAAGUUUCGGCGGUUGGGGAUGGACUCGCGGCUUAUCAGCUUGUUGGUGGGGUAGUGGCUUACCAAGGCUUUGACGGGUAGCCGGCCUGAGAGGGUGACCGGCCACAUUGGGACUGAGAUACGGCCCAGACUCCUACGGGAGGCAGCAGUGGGGAAUAUUGCACAAUGGGUGGAAGCCUGAUGCAGCAACGCCGUGUGCGGGAUGAAGGCCUUCGGGUUGUAAACCGCUUUCGCUCAUGACGAAGCUUUGUGUGACGGUAGUGGGUAAAGAAGCACCGGCUAACUACGUG